Molecule: ribosomal RNA, 433 nt
Filed under: uncultured bacterium
Lineage: Bacteria
Description: bacterial SSU rRNA
Rfam family: Bacterial small subunit ribosomal RNA
Source: RNAcentral
AACGAACGCUGGCGGCAUGCCUAACACAUGCAAGUCGAACGAAGCCUUCGGGCUUAGUGGCGCACGGGUGCGUAACGCGUGGGAAUCUGCCCUUGGGUUCGGAAUAACAGUUAGAAAUGACUGCUAAUACCGGAUGAUGUCUUCGGACCAAAGAUUUAUCGCCCAAGGAUGAGCCCGCGUAGGAUUAGGUAGUUGGUGGGGUAAAGGCCUACCAAGCCGACGAUCCUUAGCUGGUCUGAGAGGAUGAUCAGCCACACUGGGACUGAGACACGGCCCAGACUCCUACGGGAGGCAGCAGUGGGGAAUAUUGGACAAUGGGCGAAAGCCUGAUCCAGCAAUGCCGCGUGAGUGAUGAAGGCCUUAGGGUUGUAAAGCUCUUUUACCCGAGAUGAUAAUGACAGUAUCGGGAGAAUAAGCUCCGGCUAACUCCGUG